Molecule: long non-coding RNA, 263 nt
Filed under: Mytilus galloprovincialis (Mediterranean mussel)
Lineage: Eukaryota; Metazoa; Mollusca; Bivalvia; Mytilida; Mytilidae
Source: RNAcentral
CUAAAAUGGAGAAACCUAGCAUACAGAAGAACUGAUGCACGCCUUGUCAUGUUCUAUAAAAUUUCAUACCACCUCAUAGCCAUCACAAAAACAGACAGACUUAUACAACCGCUCAGACAGUCCCGGAACAUGCACGCACUCUCAUAUCAGAUUCCAUCCUGCAGAACGCAAAUACGCCAACAAUCAUUCUUUCCACGCACAAUAAAAAACUGGAACAGCCUUCCUCUGAGUAUUGUUAUGAGCGACUCUAUAGAGUCAUUCAA